RNAcentral lists this transfer RNA (70 nucleotides) under Pangasianodon gigas (Mekong giant catfish). RNAcentral describes it as "tRNA-Ile". It matches the Rfam family "tRNA". From Rfam's summary of the family: Transfer RNA (tRNA) molecules are approximately 80 nucleotides in length. Their secondary structure includes four short double-helical elements and three loops (D, anti-codon, and T loops). Further hydrogen bonds mediate the characteristic L-shaped molecular structure. tRNAs have two regions of fundamental functional importance: the anti-codon, which is responsible for specific mRNA codon recognition, and the 3' end, to which the tRNAs corresponding amino acid is attached (by aminoacyl-tRNA synthetases). tRNAs cope with the degeneracy of the genetic code in two manners: having more than one tRNA (with a specific anti-codon) for a particular amino acid; and 'wobble' base-pairing, i.e. permitting non-standard base-pairing at the 3rd anti-codon position. Lineage: Eukaryota; Metazoa; Chordata; Actinopteri; Siluriformes; Pangasiidae. RNAcentral also lists the same sequence under 1 other name. The record is from RNAcentral.
GGAACUGUGCCUGAAAUAUAGGGCUACUUUGAUAGAGUGGAUAAUGUGGGUUAGACUCCCUCCAGCUCCU